AGUGAACGCUGGCGGUAGGCCUAACACAUGCAAGUCGAACGGCAGCACAGUAAGAGCUUGCUCUUACGGGUGGCGAGUGGCGGACGGGUGAGGAAUACAUCGGAAUCUACUUUUUCGUGGGGGAUAACGUAGGGAAACUUACGCUAAUACCGCAUACGACCUACGGGUGAAAGCAGGGGAUCUUCGGACCUUGCGCGAUUGAAUGAGCCGAUGUCGGAUUAGCUAGUUGGCGGGGUAAAGGCCCACCAAGGCGACGAUACGUAGCUGGUCUGAGAGGAUGAUCAGCCACACUGGAACUGAGACACGGUCCAGACUCCUACGGGAGGCAGCAGUGGGGAAUAUUGGACAAUGGGCGCAAGCCUGAUCCAGCCAUACCGCGUGGGUGAAGAAGGCCUUCGGGUUGUAAAGCCCUUUUGUUGGGAAAGAAAAGCAGCAGGUUAAUACCCCGCUGUUCUGACGGUACCCAAAGAAUAAGCACCGGCUAACUUCGUG
Molecule: ribosomal RNA, 492 nt
Filed under: uncultured bacterium
Lineage: Bacteria
Description: partial 16S ribosomal RNA
Rfam family: Bacterial small subunit ribosomal RNA
Source: RNAcentral